CACAGACACACUCUCUCUCUCUCUCUAUAUAUAUAUAUUCAUAGAACUAUGGUACUGAGUUGUUAACAAUAGUGGUAAGUACCAAGCUAAUAUAGCACAGUAAUGUUAAGGCUAUAGCCUACCCAGACCCAGACUAAUUUCCCUGAAGGCAAUACAAGUAUGGUGCCUGCAUGAGGUGACACUCCACAAACCUAGAUAGGUUUGAUAGAUGUCAAAGAUUUGAAGGAGGUUGAUCAAUUAAACAUGCUCCAAUAUUCAUUCAGCAGUGGGCCAGUCAUUUUUACUGCUUAGACGUAAAGGGUUAUUACUCCAAGUGUCAGAACCACCACAGCCCACUGUAAUGGUUAUGAUGCCAAGGGUAUCCUGGCCCAGUUCCCCGCCAAUGAGGCAAACUGUAAAGUAACGGUUUGCCCUCUUACCUGGGUCCCUGCUGGUCUGAUAUUGUGCUUCAAGCUAGUUCACAUAAUUGGCACUAGCCUGUCCAGACUGGUUAAAAACACCCCAUGAUGCGGUCAGAGGGGGAGUUAAACUCAGCAUGUGCAGCGUUUCACAGCAUUUUCACAAUGCUAGACAUGUAGACUGCAGGCACCAUGACCACUUCAAAUCACUGAAGAGGUUAAGGUGCUUGGAGUAACCCUUUAAUGAUGAAUUUCACAAUAUUCUUCUGCAGCAGUCACCCAGAAAAUUUCACCAGUAGUAAUAAAAAAAUUAAAAAAAAGGAAAUAAAAUAGUCACUUGUUGCAAAAUAUCUGCAAUUUCUUCAGGAGCCAGGAGGUAGCUGAAAAUUCUCAGGCAAUCCUGGUCCUUCAACUAUCUCACAGGUUUAUUCACUAAAGUGUGAAUUGCUUGGAAUUUAAAUGGAAUAUCAUGCUGGAAAAAAAAGUAAUUACUAUACAGACCAGGCAUAGGCC
Molecule: non-coding RNA, 911 nt
Organism: Pelobates cultripes (western spadefoot toad)
Lineage: Eukaryota; Metazoa; Chordata; Amphibia; Anura; Pelobatidae
Source: the annotation of a GenBank genome assembly